RNAcentral lists this ribosomal RNA (555 nucleotides) under Triticum aestivum (bread wheat). RNAcentral's name for it is "partial small subunit ribosomal RNA". The record is from RNAcentral. Lineage: Eukaryota; Viridiplantae; Streptophyta; Magnoliopsida; Poales; Poaceae.
AUGGCCUUGGCCUGCUCCUGCCCGGAGUCCGGGUGCAGCAUCGUGGGCUCCCCGGCGAUGCUCCUCGAUCAUCUCGCCAACAGCCACCAGCGCCCCGCCGUCACGGUCUGCUACGGCCUGUCCUCUAACCUCGGCUUCUCCCUUUCACACCCCUGGCAUGCGCUCGUCGGGGAGGACGACCGCAGCGUUUUCCUCGUGUCCCUGGGCCCCCUGGGCGCCGCUACGGCCGUGUCGCCAGUGUACGUCAGACCCGACGGUGAGGCCGAGGUGGCGCCCCGGUUCUGGUGCAAGCUGUCCGUGGGGCCCCCGGGUAUCGACAUGGUCCUCAUGGCCUCGCCGGUGAGCAGCAGCACGCUGGCCGCCGGCGCACCCACGCCGUGGCAGGGGAUGUUCUUGGCGGUGCCCCAGGAGAUGCUCUCCGGUGACACGCUCACGCUCAGCGUCUGGAUCGAUCUGAACCCACCUUCCGCUGGCGCUCCCAAUGAAGUCGACUACACCACAGGCCAGGACAUCGAGGAGGAUGCUGUCAAGCAGGGGCGGAGCCAGCAAAUUUAG